CCUACGGGUGGCAGCAGUGGGGAAUAUUGCACAAUGGGGGAAACCCUGAUGCAGCGACGCCGCGUGGGUGACGAAGUAUUUCGGUAUGUAAAGCCCUAUCAGCAGGGAAGAAGAUGACAGUACCUGACUAAGAAGCCCCGGCUAACUACGUGCCAGCAGCCGCGGUAAUACGUAGGGGGCAAGCGUUAUCCGGAUUUACUGGGUGUAAAGGGAGCGUAGGUGGCAUGGCAAGCCAGAAGUGAAAACCCGGGGCUUAACCGCGGGACUGCUUUUGAAACUGUGUAGCUAGAGUGCAGGAGAGGUAAGUGGAAUUCCGAGUGUAGCGGUGAAAUGCGUAGAUAUUAGGAGGAACACCGGUGGCGAAGGCGGCUUACUGGACUGUAACUGACGUUGAGGCUCGAAAGCGUGGGGAGCAAACAGGAUUAGAUACCCCAGUAGUC
This 440-nucleotide ribosomal RNA is filed under the name uncultured bacterium. RNAcentral's name for it is "partial 16S ribosomal RNA". It matches the Rfam family "Bacterial small subunit ribosomal RNA", at positions 338 to 795 of the family's 1533-position model. The record is from RNAcentral.